UACAGAGGGGGCAAGCGUUGUUCGGAAUUACUGGGCGUAAGGGGCGCGUAGGCGGCCCGCUAAGUCGAACGUGAAAUCCCCGAGCUCAACUCGGGAACUGCGUCCGAUACUGGCGGGCUUGAAUCCGGGAGAGGGAUGCGGAAUUCCAGGUGUAGCGGUGAAAUGCGUAGAUAUCAGGAGGAACACCAAUGGCGAAGGCAGCUCGCUGGGACGGUACUGACGCUAAGGCGCGAAAGCGUGGGGAGCGAACAGG
This 253-nucleotide ribosomal RNA is filed under the name uncultured bacterium. RNAcentral describes it as "partial 16S ribosomal RNA". It matches the Rfam family "Bacterial small subunit ribosomal RNA", at positions 524 to 776 of the family's 1533-position model. The record is from RNAcentral.